UUUCUAAGUGACCAUAUUGUGGCAGGAAACUCAUGCUGAGGGACUAGCAUAGAAGUGGAUUUUCCUCAUACGUCUUCUUUUAUGCUUUAAACCUUCUACUUCUCAUCCUUACCAUUACACUCUUUGGUACAGGAAGUGCCCACGAACUGUCCACUGGACAAUAAAAGUUCUGGUAAAGAGAACCUUGAACCAGUUCUCUGCUUCCCUCUCGUAAGGAAAAGACCCACCAUGAAACUUUUUGCAGCAGUCAUUCUCGUUAUGGUUUUGCUUCAGAACUUCGAUGUGUUCAUGGUCAGAGGAGCCCUUGGUUCCCGAACGAUGCCAUCCAGCUAUUGUGAAAGCCUACGCACAAAAGAAAUAAAAUGCCAGAGAAUUAAGAGCUAUUCAAUGCUGCAAAAUGAACCUAAAAACAAAGUAUUAUUAAUCCUGAAGAAGAAGAAUACCAAGGUCUGUGUGCCAGCUGAACUUUCAUGGGUGAAGAAAAUCAUCCUCUGCUUAGAUAAAAAAAAUGGUACCUACAAAUCCUAACAGAAUUAUGACUCGUUUGAAGUUUUGACCAGUUAAACUGCAACAUGUCAAACCAUUCUCCACUCAUCCCUGAAAACCAGGCUAAUUGAAGCAGGGCCUUUUAUAUAUUUAACCUUAGUUGCUUUGGAAUUCUAUAUAUAUAUAUUUAUUGAUAAAAGCCAGCUUUUUAAAUAAUUUUAUUUGUAGCUAAUAUUACAUAAUGUGCACAAAAUAUCCAAUGGAAAAACUGAUUUUUUUUUAAAAUAUUUUGACUCUUCUGUCUUUCGCUGUUGUAAAAAUUGUGGUCUGGUUCCUCUGGCACCCUUUUUUGGGUACCUGAGAGGGUACCAUUUCCAGUUCAUCAUUUCUCCCAACCAUUAUCUCUGAUCCUUUAUGUCUUUUCUGUAAUUUAUACUGGAACGAGUUUUGAACUCACAAUAAAUGAUACUGUGGAGAUCCCCUCCA
RNAcentral lists this long non-coding RNA (972 nucleotides) under Pogona vitticeps (central bearded dragon). Its description in RNAcentral is "lncRNA (ENSPVIG00000019659.1)". The record is from RNAcentral. Lineage: Eukaryota; Metazoa; Chordata; Lepidosauria; Squamata; Agamidae.